This 200-nucleotide long non-coding RNA is filed under the name Phoenix dactylifera (date palm). RNAcentral describes it as "long non-coding RNA (PDAC_LNC021571)". The record is from RNAcentral. Lineage: Eukaryota; Viridiplantae; Streptophyta; Magnoliopsida; Arecales; Arecaceae.
AGCUAGGAAAGAAGGUAUGGAAGUGGGAGAGAACAUUUAGGAAAGAGAUUUCAAAGAGAUUACAAGAGAAAUCUCCCCAAAGCACAAAAGGGCCAUUCAAAGUAAAAGAGAGAGAAGAAGAGCAUCCAAGUGAAUCCCAAAGCUUCCUCUCCAACUGUGUGCUGCCUCGGUGAUCCUCUACUUCGUGCAAAAUCAGAAGA